This 871-nucleotide ribosomal RNA is filed under the name uncultured Syndiniales. RNAcentral describes it as "SSU rRNA". It matches the Rfam family "Eukaryotic small subunit ribosomal RNA", at positions 52 to 928 of the family's 1831-position model. Lineage: Eukaryota; Dinophyceae; Syndiniales. The record is from RNAcentral.
UGCAUGUCUCAGUAUAAGUCUUUAUAUGGCGAAACUGCGAAUGGCUCAUCAAAACAGUUAUAGUUUACAUGAUUGUCAAGUGUUAUACGGAUAACUGUGGUAAUUCUAGAGCUAAUACGUGCAUAAAGACCCGACUUAAAGGAAGGGUUGUAUUUAUUAGAUACAGAACCAAUCCAGCUUGCUGGUUUACGGAUGAUUCAUAAUAAAUGAACGGAGCGUAUGGCAUGCGCCGACGCUGUGUCAUUCAAGUUUCUGACCUAUCAGCUUCCGACGGUAGGGUAUUGGCCUACCGUGGCAUUGACGGGUAACGGAGAAUUAGGGUUCGAUUCCGGAGAGGGAGCCCGAGAAACGGCUACCACAUCUAAGGAAGGCAGCAGGCGCGCAAAUUACCCAAUCCUGAUACAGGGAGGUAGUGACAAGAAAUAACAAUGUAAGUGCCAACAGGCAUUUUACUAUUGGAAUGAGUAGAAUUUAAAUCUCUUUUCGACUAUCAAUUGGAGGGCAAGUCUGGUGCCAGCAGCCGCGGUAAUUCCAGCUCCAAUAGCGUAUAUUAAAGUUGUUGCGGUUAAAAAGCUCGUAGUUGGAUUUCUGUUGAGGACGUCCGGUCCGCACUAUGUGCGUGUAUCUGGUUCGGCCUUGGCAUCCUCCUGGGGAACGGUGCUGCGCUUGAUUGCGUGGUCCGGUAUUCAGGACUUUUACUUUGAGGAAAUUAGAGUGUUUACGGCAGGCAAUCGCCUUGAAUACAUUAGCAUGGAAUAAUAAUAUAGGACCUUGGUUCUAUUUUGUUGGUUUCUAGAACUAAGGUAAUGAUUAAUAGGGAUAAUUGGGGGCAUUCGUAUUAACACGUCAGAGGUGAAAAUUCUUGGAUUGU